GGAGCCGGAGCGCCCCAGAACGCCUUUCCCAAAAACGGCUCCAGGGAACUUUUCCUUGUUGGAUCACCCCUGCCCCACGCGGAUCCCACCCCAGGCUGGGAAUUCCCUGAGGCAGCUCAGGAGCUCCCACGGCCACGGAACAGCGGGAACAGCGGGAUUGCCCCGAGAUCCCAACUCCUCCUCCUCCUCCUCCUCCUCCUCCUCCCCAGCUCCGCUGGGAGCAGCCGGAGGGAUGGGAUGGGAAGGGAUGGGAUGGAUCCCUCAGAGGGCUGGGAUGGGAUGGGAUGGGUUGGGAAGGGAUGGGCUGGAUCCUUCAGAGGGAUGGGUUGGGAAGGGCUGGAUCCUUCAGAGGGAUGGGAUGGGAUGGGAUGGAUCCUUCAGAGGGAUGGGAUGGGAUGGGUUGGAUCCUUCAGAGGGAUGGGAUGGGAUGGGUUGGAUCCUUCAGAGGGAUGGGUUGGAUCCCUCAGAGGGAUGGGAUGAAGGCUCCUGGGAUGGGAUGAAGCCUCCUGGGAUGGGAUGGGUUGGGAUGGAUUCCUCAGGGAUGGGAUGGAUCCCACAGAGGGAUGGGAUGAAGGCUCCUGGGAAGGACGGGAUGAAGGCUCCUGGGAUGGGAUGGGAUGAAGGCUCCUGGGAUGGGAUGAAGGCUCCUGGAAGGAUGGGAUGAAGGCUCCUGGGAUGGGAUGGGAUGGAUCCCACAGAGGGAUGGGAUGAAGGCUCCUGGGAUGGGAUGGGAUGGGAGGGAUGAAGGCUCCUGGGAGGGAUGGGAGGGAUGAAGGCUCCUGGGAUGGGAUGGGAGGGAUGAAGGCUCCUGGGAUGGGAUGGGAUGAAGGCUCUGGGAUGGGAUGGAUCCCUCAGAGGGAUGGGAUGAAGGCUCCUGGGAGGGAUGGGAUGGAUCCCUCAGAGGGAUGGGAUGAAGGCUCCUGGGAUGGGAUGAAGGCUCCUGGGAGGGUUGGGAUGGGAUGAAGGCUCCUGGGAUGGGAUGAAGGCUCCUGGAAGGAUGGGAUGAAGGCUCCUGGGAUGGAUCCCUCAGAGGGAUGGGAUGAAGGCUCCUGGGAUGGGAUGAAGGCUCCUGGGAUGGGAUGAAGGCUCCUGGGAGGGCAGCAGCUCCAGCUCUUCCCCAUCCUCCUCUCCCCUCUCUCCAAACCGUUCUCCCCUCAUCAAUCAACCCUUGAAGAGCUGGUUUUUAUCUCCUCUUGCACCAGAUCCAACUCGCCAAAAAUAAUCCAUAAAAAUGCGGUAUAAAAAUCCUCUGCCGUGUGCUACGAUACAG
RNAcentral lists this long non-coding RNA (1270 nucleotides) under Lonchura striata (white-rumped munia). RNAcentral describes it as "domestica (Bengalese finch) lncRNA (ENSLSDG00000018105.1)". Lineage: Eukaryota; Metazoa; Chordata; Aves; Passeriformes; Estrildidae. The record is from RNAcentral.